AGUGAACGCUGGCGGUAGGCCUAACACAUGCAAGUCGAACGGCAGCACAGGAGAGCUUGCUCUCUGGGUGGCGAGUGGCGGACGGGUGAGGAAUACAUCGGAAUCUACUUUUUCGUGGGGGAUAACGUAGGGAAACUUACGCUAAUACCGCAUACGACCUACGGGGGAAGGCAGGGGAUCUUCGGACCUUUCGCGAUUGAAUGAGCCGAUGUCGGAUUAGCUAGUUGGCGGGGUAAAGGCCCACCAAGGCGACGAACCGUAGCGGGUCUGAGAGGAUGAACAGCCACACUGGAACUGAGACACGGUCCAGACUCCUACGGGAGGCAGCAGUGGGGAAUAUUGGACAAUGGGCGCAAGCCUGAUCCAGCCAUACCGCGUGGGUGAAGAAGGCCUUCGGGUUGUAAAGCCCUUUUGUUGGGAAAGAAAUCCAGCUGGUUAAUACCCGGUUGGGAUGACGGUACCCAAAGAAUAAGCACCGGCUAACUUCGUGCCAGCCGCCGCCGUAA
Molecule: ribosomal RNA, 506 nt
Filed under: uncultured bacterium
Lineage: Bacteria
Description: partial 16S ribosomal RNA
Rfam family: Bacterial small subunit ribosomal RNA
Source: RNAcentral